CUACGGGGGGCAGCAGUGAGGAAUUUUGCGCAAUGGGGGGAACCCUGACGCAGCAACGCCGCGUGAGUGAAGAAGGCCUUUGGGUCGUAAAGCUCUGUCAACUGGGAAGAAAUUAGAGUUGUUUAACAGAUGAUUCUAUUGACGGUACCAGUGGAGGAAGCGCCGGCUAACUCCGUGCCAGCAGCCGCGGUAACACGGGGGGCGCAAGCGUUAUUCGGAAUUAUUGGGCGUAAAGGGCGCGCAGGCGGUCUUGUCGGUCAGGUGUGAAAGCCCGGGGCUCAACCCUGGAAGUGCACUUGGAACAGCAAGACUUGAGUACGGGAGAGGAAAGCGGAAUUCCUGGUGUAGAGGUGAAAUUCGUAGAUAUCAGGAGGAACACCGAUGGCGAAGGCAGCUUUCUGGACCGAUACUGACGCUGAGGCGCGAAGGCGUGGGUAGCGAACGGGAUUAGAUACCCCCGUAGUC
RNAcentral lists this ribosomal RNA (465 nucleotides) under uncultured bacterium. RNAcentral describes it as "partial 16S ribosomal RNA". It matches the Rfam family "Bacterial small subunit ribosomal RNA", at positions 339 to 795 of the family's 1533-position model. The record is from RNAcentral.